UAGAAGGUAGUACAACUCUAGUAGAAGGUAGUACAACUCUCGUAGAACGUAGUACAACUCUCGUAGAACGUAGUACAACUCUAGUAGAAGGUAGUACAACUCUAGUAGAAGGUAGUACAACUCUAGUAGAAGGUAGUACAACUCUAGUAGAAGGUAGUGCAACUCUAGUAGAAGGUAGUGCAACUCUAGUAGAAGGUAGUGCAACUCUAGUAGAAGGUAGUACAACUCUAGUAGAAGGUAGUACAACUCUAGUAGAAGGUAGUACAACUCUAGUAGAAGGUAGUACAACUCUAGUAGAAGGUAGUACAACUCUAGUAGAAGGUAGUGCAACUCUAGUAGAAGGUAGUACAACUCUAGUAGAAGGUAGUACAACUCUAGUAGAAGGUAGUACAACUCUAGUAGAAGGUAGUGCAACUCUAGUAGAAGGUAGUACAACUUUAGACUAGUGGUUGAACUGUCACUGUACAGGUUAAUAACUGUAGAUCUGUAGAACAUGUACAAGAGUCACAAUGCAUCAAUUUUAUCGUCUCUCCGUAACCCAGCACUUACCAGUCUGUUGAACACAGUGGUCAGAUCGUCUCUCCGUAACCCAGCACUUACCAGUCUGUAGGACACAGUGGUCAGAUCGUCUCUGUAACCCAACACUUACCAGUCUGUAGGACACAGUGGGGCUGAUGGACUGAAUACAGACAUCUGGGGCUGAUGGACUGAAU
Long non-coding RNA from Oncorhynchus gorbuscha (pink salmon), 713 nucleotides. RefSeq lists it as uncharacterized. NCBI's taxonomy places the organism in Eukaryota, Metazoa, Chordata, Actinopteri, Salmoniformes, Salmonidae. The record is from RefSeq and is a predicted model, not a curated record. The transcript is spliced from 4 exons.